AAGAAACUUCUUUAACCACCCCACCCACCAACCCCACCCCACCCCUACCCCACCCUUUUCUCUUCUUGAUUCCUAAAAGAAACCAACUUCACUGUUCACAACAACUCCCCCCAACAAAAGAAACAGCACAGCAAAGCAACAGUUAUACAGCAAAAGUAUACACUAUAUAUAUAUAUGAUACAAAUGGAUGUAGAGUGGGAAAAAGGAGACAAAGGGGUUAUAAAGGCCAGUAAAGAAGGACAAAUGAGAAGGAAAUGGAGACAAGAAGACAUGGUUAAUGAUGAGAAUAAUGGUGGUCAGUUUUGGUUGACGCUUUUUGUCGAACAGGUGGAGUGCGAAAUUGGGUUUUAGUACUGGAUCCUAUGAGGAAUGUGGCUUUGGGUUAUGUGAGGUCUAUGCCAAAAAAAUAAAAAUAAUUUCGAAAUAAAGUUUGAGAUUAAUUUUAGUUUACUAUGUUUGUACUAGUUAUUAUUUGUAAUAAAAUGAUGAAAUUACUAUUUAUAUGAAGAAUAGAGUAAAAAUUAAAAUAUUGUGAUA
Molecule: long non-coding RNA, 537 nt
Organism: Capsicum annuum
Lineage: Eukaryota; Viridiplantae; Streptophyta; Magnoliopsida; Solanales; Solanaceae
Exons: 2
Source: RefSeq, a predicted model, not a curated record